ACGCCUCUUUUUCAUCAACAGUUUAUCUUAAUCAUGUUUUUUAGGUAUGGCGUGCUAAGUGAGAAAUGUUCAAGGACCCAUGUUAAAGGGCCGCGCAAAGGUGACCGUACAAAGGGUGCUUUAACUGGAGGCUUGAAAUAAGAGGUUGGAGAGAAAGCAACGAGGUAAAAUUAAGUUUUUGAAAUUAAAUUUUUGAAUAAAAGGUUUAAAUUUAAAGGUUGGAAGUUAUGACCCGGACGAGAAGACCCAAUUGAGGUUAACAGUUUUAGUAUAUUGUUAAAUGAUUUUUUUAUUUUGUUUGGUUGGGGUGACAUGAAGAAUAAAUAAACUCUUCAUUAUUAAAUCAUUGAUUUAUGUUUAUAUGAUCCAUAAAUUAUGAUCAUAAGAUUAAGUUACCUUAGGGAUAACAGCGUAAUUGUUUUUAAGAGCUCUUAUCAACAAAACAGAUUGCGACCUCGAUGUUGGAUUAAGAUUAUUUU
This 479-nucleotide ribosomal RNA is filed under the name Acrida willemsei. RNAcentral's name for it is "partial large subunit ribosomal RNA". The record is from RNAcentral. Lineage: Eukaryota; Metazoa; Arthropoda; Insecta; Orthoptera; Acrididae.